UACGGAGGAUGCAAGCGUUAUCCGGAAUGAUUGGGCGUAAAGCGUCCGCAGGUGGCUAUGUAAGUCUGCUGUUAAAGAGUGAGGCUCAACCUCAUAAGAGCAGUGGAAACUACAUGGCUAGAGUGCGUUCGGGGGUAGAGGGAAGUUCCUGGUGUAGCGGUGAAAUGCGUAGAGAUCAGGAAGAACACCGGUGGCGAAAGCGCUCUGCUAGGCCGCAACUGACACUCAUGGACGAAAGGCUAGGGGAGCGAAUGGGA
RNAcentral lists this ribosomal RNA (257 nucleotides) under uncultured bacterium. Its description in RNAcentral is "partial 16S ribosomal RNA". It matches the Rfam family "Bacterial small subunit ribosomal RNA", at positions 524 to 777 of the family's 1533-position model. The record is from RNAcentral.